Molecule: microRNA precursor, 64 nt
Filed under: Podarcis lilfordi (Lilford's wall lizard)
Lineage: Eukaryota; Metazoa; Chordata; Lepidosauria; Squamata; Lacertidae
Source: RNAcentral
UGCGUGUGUGUGCACGUGUGUGUGUGUGUGCGCGCGCACACACACACACACACACACACGUACG